GACAUUAUCGGGGUGUCAUCCCAGAUUUUUGUGACCCUGCGAAAAUGCCGCCAUCAUGAUGAAAAUGGAAAUGAAAGAUCCUGCCUAUCUAUCUACCUGUGAUUCGCUUCCAGUUCGUGUUCCCUGAUCUGCCGUAUCCUGCUAGGAGCCCCACGGUUAACAUCAUUCCAAAUCAUGCGUCUUCGCAACCCGAGAAAGAAGUCGAUGUCGAUAAUGUCAGUUUUCGAUUCCUAUUGAAGACAGUGGUACGUCAUUUCUAUGCUUUACGUGCUUAAUCUCCGAGUGAAGAAGCAAUAGCUAGAUUGGAUUUACUCAGCCGGAGAUUCCGAGUGUAACUCGGUAUGCAUUAAGCAAGAAAUUUGGUUCCACCGGCAUCCUAUAUGAUCUGGACUUAUGCGUACCGCUCGAAUGAUUCGGAAUACAAGAAAUAGAAAUCGUAAUGUCACACGACGAGCAUCAACAACACGAGGGCAGGUAUUCCAGCAGCAUAAAGAAUUUCGACUGCAUGAAGGGAUCGGACUGUGGUUCAAGACACGGGAGAUUUAUCAGACGCCGGAUCUGCACUUGUGCACGUGCUUUGAACACAAGUUAGUCUGAAGACGAACAACAACAAGAAUUUGCCUUAUGAUGGAUCCAUCCGGCGUAGAUUUCUGUUGUUCUA
Long non-coding RNA from Syzygium oleosum, 661 nucleotides. RefSeq lists it as uncharacterized. The record is from RefSeq and is a predicted model, not a curated record. The transcript has 2 exons. Lineage: Eukaryota; Viridiplantae; Streptophyta; Magnoliopsida; Myrtales; Myrtaceae.